RNAcentral lists this ribosomal RNA (567 nucleotides) under Brotula clarkae. RNAcentral describes it as "partial large subunit ribosomal RNA". It matches the Rfam family "Bacterial large subunit ribosomal RNA", at positions 1857 to 2611 of the family's 2925-position model. The record is from RNAcentral. Lineage: Eukaryota; Metazoa; Chordata; Actinopteri; Ophidiiformes; Ophidiidae.
GCCUGCCCUGUGACUAUAAGUUUAACGGCCGCGGUAUUUUGACCGUGCGAAGGUAGCGCAAUCACUUGUCUCUUAAAUGGAGACCUGUAUGAAUGGCAUAACGAGGGCUUAACUGUCUCCUUUUUCAGGUCAAUGAAAUUGAUCUCCCCGUGCAGAAGCGGGGAUAAUAACAUAAGACGAGAAGACCCUAUGGAGCUUUAGACACCAAGCAGCCCAUGUCAAAACCACCCCCACACGGAAAUAAACUAAAUGGACCCUGCCCUAUUGUCUUUGGUUGGGGCGACCACGGGGAAACACAAACCCCCCACGCGGAAUGGGAGCACACCUCCUAAAACCAAGAGCCACAGCUCUAAUAACAGAAUUUCUGACACUAUGAUCCGGCAAUGCCGAUCAACGGACGAGUUACCCUAGGGAAACAGCGCAAUCCUCUAUUAGAGCCCAUAUCGACAAGAGGGGUUUACGACCUCGAAUGUUGGAAUCAGGGACAUCCUUAGUGGUGCAGCCGCGCUAUUAAAGGGUUCGUUUGGUUUCAACCGAAUAAAAGGUCCUAACGGUGAUCCUGGAGUU